UUCGGCCGGUAGUAAAGUGGCGGACGGGUGAGUAACACGUGGAUAAUCUGCCCUUCGGCGGGGGACAACAGUCCGAAAGGAUUGCUAAUACCGCAUACGUCAGCGAGGUCUUCGGAUCUUGUUGGGAAAGAUGGCCUCUUCAUGAAAGCUAUCACCGAAGGAUGAGUCCGCGUCCCAUCAGCUAGUUGGCGGGGUAAUGGCCCACCAAGGCUUAGACGGGUAGCUGGUCUGAGAGGAUGAUCAGCCACACUGGAACUGAGACACGGUCCAGACUCCUACGGGAGGCAGCAGUGGGGAAUAUUGGGCAAUGGGCGCAAGCCUGACCCAGCCAUGCCGCGUGAGUGAUGAAGGCCUUCGGG
Molecule: ribosomal RNA, 359 nt
Filed under: uncultured bacterium
Lineage: Bacteria
Description: bacterial SSU rRNA
Rfam family: Bacterial small subunit ribosomal RNA
Source: RNAcentral